Chinchilla lanigera (long-tailed chinchilla) is the source of this 419-nucleotide long non-coding RNA. RefSeq lists it as uncharacterized. The record is from RefSeq and is a predicted model, not a curated record. The transcript has 2 exons. Lineage: Eukaryota; Metazoa; Chordata; Mammalia; Rodentia; Chinchillidae.
GCGGGUCCCACCAGUGACUUUCCGGACAACCUGCCUGUCUCUCGGAGCAGCAAGGCGGAGUUCUUUGGGACUCUCGUCCACUCCUUGGAGGCGAGAAGGGAGUUUCGGGCUGUGGUACCUCACAUGUUCCGUUACCGAUGCCCCAGGACAGAGGGGCUCCCUACCGCGGUGGUCCUCCUCCUGCUCCAGCACGCAGCACGGUUUGCAGAGGGACUGCGCGUGACUAAGGUUAAACUUCCCAGCAAGGUCGUAUUAUUUGGGAAACAGUAGACGUUUCGGAUCAUGCCACUUUUUAUUUUCUCCUCAGACCCUUUCCAUCCAUCUGUUGUCAGCCCCUAGACCAAUGGCGCUGACGCCAAAGAUCCCAGCACUUUCUGCUAGGAAGUGUUUAAUUAAUAAAAAUAAUCAUUACAACAUGA